UAGCGUAUAUUAAAGUUGUUGCAGUUAAAAAGCUCGUAGUUGAAUUUCGGGGUCAGUAGGUCGGUCGUGCCAUUGGUAUGAACUGGUUUUACUGAUUCCUCCCUCUUGAAGAACUGUAAUGCCAUUAAUUUGGUGUUGCAGGGAAUCAGGACUGUUACUUUGAAAAAAUUAGAGUGUUUAAAGCAGGCA
This 189-nucleotide ribosomal RNA is filed under the name uncultured Glomeraceae. RNAcentral describes it as "partial 18S ribosomal RNA". It matches the Rfam family "Eukaryotic small subunit ribosomal RNA", at positions 595 to 786 of the family's 1831-position model. The record is from RNAcentral. Lineage: Eukaryota; Fungi; Glomeromycota; Glomeromycetes; Glomerales; Glomeraceae.